This 253-nucleotide ribosomal RNA is filed under the name uncultured bacterium. Its description in RNAcentral is "partial 16S ribosomal RNA". It matches the Rfam family "Bacterial small subunit ribosomal RNA", at positions 524 to 776 of the family's 1533-position model. The record is from RNAcentral.
GACAGAGGGUGCAAACGUUGUUCGGAAUUACUGGGCGUAAAGCGCGUGUAGGCUGCUCGGAAAGUCGGAUGUGAAAGCCCUGGGCUUAACCCAGGAAGUGCAUUCGAAACUCCCGAGCUUGAGUCUCGGAGAGGAAGGCGGAAUUCUCGGUGUAGAGGUGAAAUUCGUAGAGAUCGGGAGGAACACCGGUGGCGAAGGCGGGUCUCUGGGCAAUUCCUGACGCUGAGGCGCGAAAGCGUGGGGAGCAAACGGG